Long non-coding RNA from Cannabis sativa, 1037 nucleotides. RefSeq lists it as uncharacterized. Lineage: Eukaryota; Viridiplantae; Streptophyta; Magnoliopsida; Rosales; Cannabaceae. The record is from RefSeq and is a predicted model, not a curated record. The transcript is spliced from 3 exons.
UAAGUAGUAGUAUAAUUAAAGGCUUGAAUAACGUGGCAAAUAAGGAGAGAUAAGCUCUCAUUAGUUAAGCUAGAAAUAGUCAAGUGCAUGGCUAGAUGUUGGGACAGUUCAAAUUUGAAAUUAUAUAUAUAAAAAAAAUACUAGGAGUUGGUUGCAUAUGUGAAGUACUUGGAAAUGUUGGCUGAAUAAAGGGAAGAAGUUAAGGGGUUUAGUUGUUGCGGAUUCAAAUAUUAACCAUAGUUAGAGUGGAUUAGUGGUGUAGUUAAGGUAGAUGUGGCUUAGUUAAUUCUAAGAGGCUAUAAAUAGGACUCACUUUUUCACAUUUCACUCACACUUUGAUAACCAAACCUCUCAUCAUCACUCUAAUUCUCUUGUGAACUUUGAGCUUUCAUCACAAUAUAAUUUUUCUCUUAUUCUCUCAUACCUGAAAGCCUAUUACAUUAAAUUUCAAUCAAUAUAGCUCUCUUUAAAUUACAACUCUUAUCAUCCCACUUUCUUCCAUCCCUGGUGUUCUGUUAUCUCUAGAUAAAACCAUCACCAUACGCCACAAUCAAAUUUCUCUUAUAACCAUCACAAUCAUCCUCUCAUAAAUAUAUAUAUAUCUUUCAUCAUAUUGGCAUCACCAUCUCCAUCAUUUUAUAGUGUUCAACUAGAUCUCAUUUGAAAGCUAAGGUUUGUCAUAGAACAAUUAUUAUUUCUCAAAGAUUUCUCUCAUUGCAAUCAAGGUUAAGGCUCCACAUCCGAGACCAAGGUAACUGAAAGUUUAGAAAGCCGGUGGCGAGUGGAACUUUGGAUGCUUGUGUGUGUGAACUCGCUGAGGGCCAUAUAACUGCGGGCGGUCUAGGGCGCUCUAUUUAUUUAUUUACGUUAUUAAACUUAUGUCGCAAUUAUUUUAGUUAUUAAUUAUUAUGUCUUUUGUACGAAAACUGGCCAGUUGUGAACAUUUUCAAGUAUUAAAUAAAAAUGCGACAUUAUGAUUUUCCGCGUUUAACGCUUGUAAACAAAAUUAAUAUUUUUAUAAAAGUACGGGCGUUACA